Lactuca sativa (garden lettuce) is the source of this 395-nucleotide non-coding RNA. The record is from RefSeq and is a predicted model, not a curated record. Lineage: Eukaryota; Viridiplantae; Streptophyta; Magnoliopsida; Asterales; Asteraceae.
AGAGUCUUUCUCUCCUUAUCCCCCGAGCAUUUCGGUCCCUCGUGAUUCGACUUCUCUUUCUGUAGUUUUAGUAUAGUAAGGUGAGCGCUGAAGCGCUGCACGAAUCUUUCUUAGAAAGAUUCAGCGACGAAGUUCUGCCCCUACAGAGCCCGACUCCUAGCUAAAAUCCCCUUGUAAGUUUCGUCGAAGGAAAUUAUUUUAAAGUAAACGAAGCGCUGUCCGAGUACCGAGUCACCACCUUCUCAAGUGUUGAUAUGAAGUGACACUACACUGAGAGAUUUAAAGAGAUGUAGAUCACUAGUGUAAAUAAUUGUAAGUUCUGUUUAUGCUUAUGUUUCUGUAUUAACGAUGACAUCCCAAAUGUUUUAAAAUGAAAUAAAUACGUUUCUUCGAAA